UCUGAAGUGAUUUUAUCUGACAAAGAGUGGCGAACGGGUGAGUAACACGUGGGUAACCUACCUCUUAGCAGGGGAUAACAUUUGGAAACAAGUGCUAAUACCGUAUAAUACCAACAACCGCAUGGUUGUUGGUUGAAAGAUGGUUCUGCUAUCACUAAGAGAUGGACCCGCGGUGCAUUAGCUAGUUGGUAAGGUAACGGCUUACCAAGGCGAUGAUGCAUAGCCGACCUGAGAGGGUAAUCGGCCACACUGGGACUGAGACACGGCCCAGACUCC
This 276-nucleotide ribosomal RNA is filed under the name uncultured Weissella sp. Its description in RNAcentral is "partial 16S ribosomal RNA". It matches the Rfam family "Bacterial small subunit ribosomal RNA", at positions 70 to 339 of the family's 1533-position model. Lineage: Bacteria; Bacillati; Bacillota; Bacilli; Lactobacillales; Lactobacillaceae. The record is from RNAcentral.